CCCACCCUGACCACCCCACCUCAGUUUCGCCUACUCUUUCUUUCUCUCUCAUCUCGUUUUUCCAGAUCUGAAACCUCGAAACUUCUCCCCCCUUAAGAUAAUCCUAAUCAAUCUUGUGCUUUCAUUCAACAUCUCCUAUAACCAGUAACCCAUCCAAAUUUGUCCAUUUUCUCUGAAAAAUAAGCUCUACGAAAAUGGCAGGGAGAGGCAAAACCUUGGUUCCUCCACGAAGAAGGAGAAAUCUCGGUUGCAUCUUGUUGAACCAACUAAGUAGAGGUAUUCUCAUUUUGUCUGUCCUUGUUCAAAGGCCGCACCAACUUCUUGUGGCGUUGCUUCUAUGAAAUGCAGCCGCCAGGGAGGAAUUAUCUGAAGACAUGACAGGAAAGAAAAAAAAACUUUCAUCAGUUGCAGAUGUUCAGUUAUGAACUGCCUGUCAGAAGACAGUAACUUGGAUUAAGAAACAGAUGAAACAGGAAAAAACCAUCAAAGAAAUACUGAUCUAUGUUAGCAUGCCACCAUUUCUCUUGCUAGGCGUUGCAAAAAUCUCGAGUUCUUAGAUCUUUCAUGGUGUCGCCUCCUUACAGACGAGGCACUAGGAUUAAUUGCAGACAGUUGCUGGUCUCUCAGGUUGCUCAAAAUUUUUGGUUACACACAGGUAAAUAAUUUUUUGUUCAUGGCUUGUAAUGAUAAGCAGUUGGCACUAUUCGUUUUGCUUUCCUAUUGCCAUUGGUUUAUAACUGAUUUUCCAUGCCAGAUCUUUGUUUAUACUAAUUUGUAUUUGUUUUUAUAAUAAUUUGUAUUUAGACUAACAAGUAAGUAACGUGAAUGAUGUUCAUUACCAACUCUCCCUAGUUAUUUUAGCGCAAACAAGUAAUGUGCAUACUAGCAAUUAGAUCAUUGACUAAGUUACUGAUCGUAUCUGUUCUAAAAUAACAAUGACUGCUCUUGUGUCAGUCAGUCUCUGAUUUUUUAGGGAGAUAGGUGAUGUAUGGAGUGGAAAGGGGUUGUUGAUAAUGAGAGAUGUUAAUAACAAGUAAUGAGUGAUGACAUUCAAUUCCAAAAAUGCUUAUUUCGGGACCACACUACUAACAAGACAUUGGUUGUUAGAUCAAGGUUAUACAUACUAUUUGGACUGACUUGUUGCCUAGCAAGUUUCCGGUGUUGUAAUCUAUUUUAGAUUUUCUGGAGCAUGAUGAGAAACUUCACAAGAAAGUAAACUAUUUUAGAUCCAGAUUAUGGAACUGAAUAUUUCAGCAUCAUUGUAGGUCUCUAUUGUUAGGUAAGGACAUUGUGAAUCACAGGAGCUUAGGUGUUCCUAGGAUAGGGUAGGGUAGAGGUGUUCACAGGAGCACAGAAGCAUAAGUGUUCACCCAAGACAUUUAUUUGAAUGUCUCUUCUCCUAUAGUUUCCUGUCCACAUCACACCCUUUGCUCAUCUUCCAACUCAAAUUUACCUAUUUUUGUACCUGUUAUUUUUCAUGUGUUCCUAAACUACCUUCCAAAUAUAAUGAUUUUGUCCACUCUAUACCUGUCAUAAGACUUAGAUAAAUACAAAUACCAGAAGAAAUUUUCUUCCUCUUCUCAUUCAUUUUAUGUUUUUUUAAACUCAAAUCCUACCUUUUGUUUUUAUCUCAAAUGUGAUGGUUUAUCUUGAGCCAUCAUCUUAUAAGAAAGCAAAAGAUCAUCCAGGCCGGGUUGCUUCCGUAGACAAAGAAAUUUAGGCUGUAGAAUCAAAUGAAGUAGAGUAACCUACUGAUCUUCCUAAGAGUAAGAAGGGGCAUAGGUUUAACCUACUGAUCUUCCUAAGAGUUGCACUAGAAAAACCGUUCUUCUAAGUAACCAAGGUAAUGAAUUCCUUCUGCAGUCAUGAUGAAUACGAAAUAAUUAACCUGCAUGAAAAACUAAUAGGCUAAAGUCCAAAGAUAGGUAAACAAUUUGCGUGAUUAAACAAUUUAUAUGAAAUUCUCCUCAUGUUGUAAUUCAUUUCCUUCGUCCA
This is a long non-coding RNA of Spinacia oleracea (spinach), 1995 nucleotides long. RefSeq lists it as uncharacterized. Lineage: Eukaryota; Viridiplantae; Streptophyta; Magnoliopsida; Caryophyllales; Amaranthaceae. The record is from RefSeq and is a predicted model, not a curated record. The transcript is spliced from 3 exons.